Molecule: long non-coding RNA, 223 nt
Filed under: Solanum tuberosum (potato)
Lineage: Eukaryota; Viridiplantae; Streptophyta; Magnoliopsida; Solanales; Solanaceae
Description: long non-coding RNA (STUB_LNC009760)
Source: RNAcentral
GGGUCUUCAUCCUUGGCCGUUUUCCAUGCUCUUUUACAUCUCUUUUCUUCAAGUUGACUCCAAUUCCCUUGAGAGUUCCUGAAACAACUAAUCAUGUGUGUAAGUGUACAAUCAUUACAGGUUACACCAAAAAUUAAGCUAAUGACUAGAUAUCAUCUUCCAAUCUUAUUGACUUAUGGGCAAUUAUUGGCAACUUGGGCAUAUAAAUAUGCCUAAGAUCAUG